UCUUCACUCUUCACUCACUGUACCUCUGCAUCUCGCCUCUCUUAAGCUCACAAACUAAGAAUUCUCUAGACACUCCUCACUAUACUUAAGCUAAGUUUAGUGAUUUACACUACGAAUUUUCCUUUGGAGAUCUACCUCUACUGCUUUAUUUAAAAAAAAAAAAAUGAGGGUUCUUUCCUAGCUAAUCUCUGAGAAGCAAUCCAGAAAUUCCAACUGUCUGAGUUGUUUUGUCAGGUAUAUUAGAUUGAAGAAGAUGAAUAUGGCCUACCAGAUCUGGAAAAUCCAAGACGCAGGGAUGAAGUUUUUCAAACUGUACCCAGAAUACAACGCAAAUACACUUCUCCUGGACACUUAAAGGGCUGGAGAUUUUGGGAGCGCAGAUGAGAUAUCUCAUAGAUUUAUAUAGACUGUAAUAGUCCAUUUAUAAAUUUGAAUAAUAUCUUGGAAAAAGAAGGCUGCUGGAGACGUUUCACUUCCCAAUUAAACAAUCAAGAACUGUUCUAUCGAAAAACUGAAUAUAUUAUACACAGCUGUAAAAUAUGCAUGUUUCUACAUUGAUGUCUGUAGGUAUAUUUAUGUAAAUUAUUUAUUCAUGGCACAGAUUCUAAUUAGAACUCUUCAAUGAGUAGAAGUCUAUUCAAUUU
Molecule: long non-coding RNA, 644 nt
Organism: Ipomoea nil (Japanese morning glory)
Lineage: Eukaryota; Viridiplantae; Streptophyta; Magnoliopsida; Solanales; Convolvulaceae
Exons: 3
Source: RefSeq, a predicted model, not a curated record